GAUAAGAUGGCAGAGAGUUAAGUGCAUUAGAUUGUAAAUUUAAUAAUGAGGGUUAGAUUCCUUUUCUUAUUA
Molecule: transfer RNA, 72 nt
Filed under: Asthenactis papyraceus
Lineage: Eukaryota; Metazoa; Echinodermata; Asteroidea; Spinulosida; Pythonasteridae
Also listed under: 1 other name
Description: tRNA-Tyr
Rfam family: tRNA
About the family: Transfer RNA (tRNA) molecules are approximately 80 nucleotides in length. Their secondary structure includes four short double-helical elements and three loops (D, anti-codon, and T loops).
Source: RNAcentral